CAGUAGCCGCGGGAAUACAGAGGGUGCAAGCGUUAAUCGGAAUUACUGGGCGUAAAGCGCGCGUAGGUGGUUAGUUAAGUUGGAUGUGAAAUCCCCGGGCUCAACCUGGGAACUGCAUUUAAAACUGACUGACUAGAGUAUGGUAGAGGGUGGUGGAAUUUCCUGUGUAGCGGUGAAAUGCGUAGAUAUAGGAAGGAACACCAGUGGCGAAGGCGACCACCUGGACUGAUACUGACACUGAGGUGCGAAAGCGUGGGGAGCAAACAGGAUUAGAUACCCCCGUAGUCCCUGUCUCUUAUAC
RNAcentral lists this ribosomal RNA (301 nucleotides) under uncultured bacterium. RNAcentral's name for it is "partial 16S ribosomal RNA". It matches the Rfam family "Bacterial small subunit ribosomal RNA", at positions 509 to 807 of the family's 1533-position model. The record is from RNAcentral.